Molecule: non-coding RNA, 413 nt
Organism: Paramuricea clavata
Lineage: Eukaryota; Metazoa; Cnidaria; Anthozoa; Malacalcyonacea; Plexauridae
Source: the annotation of a GenBank genome assembly
CUGUUGUUGUUUGAGAUGAAAUUAAAAUUGUUGCGGGAGUAAUUGUUGAUAUGUCUACUGAAGUCACGAACGAAUUAGUGCUAUAAACAGUACUAUUCGGAUACGCAACAUUAGAUGUCGUAAGACUACUCGAGCUGGCAGUUGAACCGUCGAAUUUGUAUUGUUGUAUGACCAGAAGAAAGAGCACAUCUAACCAAAGAUUUCGGAUAUUCGCCAUUCUCGCUUCCCUGCUUGACCGUAUUUUGAGCCAGAGAUUCAACGCGGAUUGUUCUGAGAAUAAACGUGUUAUGCUUUAAUGUGGAAUGCACGUAAAUUCGCAAAGUUUUAAAUCAUCACUGGCAAAGAGACAGUCAGAUAGACAGACAAUGCCAAAUGAAAUAUGAUCUCAACACUAGGCCUUGUCAUUAUUCGCA